CAGGGAGACAACAAAAUGUUUAUAUUAUUAUUUUGUCACCUUAGGUCGAUCGGUAUCUCACGUUUUUAAUUUAUUAAGAAUUUCAUUUCCUAAGUUUUUCUAGGUCACACCCAUUAUUUUUCCUGGGCCAUUAGCUCAGGUGGUUAGAGCGCACCCCUGAUAAGGGUGAGGUCCCUGGUUCAAGUCCAGGAUGGCCCAUAUCUCUAUGUUGGGGGUAUAGCUCAGUUGGUAGAGCGCCUGCUUUGCAAGCAGGAUGUCAGCGGUUCGAGUCCGCUUACCUCCACUGAUCACCACCUCUCCCAUAAUUUAUAAAAAGGAAUUGUUUUGAAUUAAGACCAAAUACUGAACGAAUCUAGCCUCCUAAUCAAUUAGAUUAAGAUGCUGGACUCAUUGAAUUAAUUUCAUUGUUUUCAGAGAACCUUGACAACUGCAUAGAUUAUUUUUAAAGACAAUAAGCAUCUUUUUUGAUGCAGAUUUAUUAUUUGUGCAAAUGCAUUAAUAACAAUUCUAUUAAGCUGAUGCUUCA
RNAcentral lists this transfer RNA (526 nucleotides) under uncultured Prochlorococcus sp. RNAcentral describes it as "partial 16S-23S ribosomal RNA intergenic spacer". The stretch from base 211 to 283 matches the Rfam family "tRNA". The record is from RNAcentral. Lineage: Bacteria; Bacillati; Cyanobacteriota; Cyanophyceae; Synechococcales; Prochlorococcaceae.